RNAcentral lists this long non-coding RNA (2236 nucleotides) under Triticum aestivum (bread wheat). Its description in RNAcentral is "long non-coding RNA (TAES_LNC011833)". Lineage: Eukaryota; Viridiplantae; Streptophyta; Magnoliopsida; Poales; Poaceae. The record is from RNAcentral.
ACGCAUUGCUCCUCCUCCUAUCUAUCUAUUUCUCUCUUUCACUCGCGUGAUUUUCUCCUCCCCUCCAUUUUCCCCCAGUGGUUUGCGGCACGAUUCGGGCGUGGGUUCGCCAGAGAUCUGGACCGCCGGAGGUAAUCCCCAUCCUCUACACGCUCUUUUUGCGUUUGCUCGCGUCUGUUUCUGGGGUGCGUGUUCGAUUGGGCUAGGAUUAGGUGGUGCUCGUCGCCGGAGUGGGGCGGAGGACGCGUAUAUGAAGCGAAGGACAGCGAUGUCUAUGGUGACUCCGCACUCGUUCAUUUUUGGGUCGAAUACCUAGUUCGUCUAGGGGUGUAGCGGGCGUCCCAGUCGAAUAAGGUGCGGUCAGGUGGUUUUACCAAUGGUGGAAGGGCAUGAACUAGAUGAGAGAGGAGGGAGCGGGGUGGUACAAUUCGUGUUGGGAUUUUUGGUUUUUUGGUAAGAUUAUUUGUUCAACGAUAAAAUUUUGCUUGUAAUAGGCGCAUGAGUUUUUUGCGAGAAAAACUUCCAAUCUAUUCAUCUUCACUCAUGGUAGUACAACGAACACUAGAAAUAAUAAAAAUUACAUCCAGAUCCGUAAACCACCUAGCGACGACUACAACACUGAAGCGAGCCGAAGGCACGCCGCUGUCAUCGCCCCUCCCUCACCGGAGCCGGGCAAACCUGUUGUAGUAGACAGUCGAGAAGUCGUCGUGCUAAGGCCCCAUAGAACAAAUGCACCAGAAAUAGCACCCGCCGCCGAUGAAGAGGGUAGAUCAGAAGGAUCCAACUUAAAGACACAGGAACAUAGACAAACGAUGGACAAAUCCGAGCAAAUCUACCAAAGAUAGAUCCGCUGGAGACACACCUCCACACGCCCACCGACGAUGCUAGACGCAUCACCGGAACGGGGCUAGGCGGGGAGACCUUUAUUCCAUCUUCAGGGAGUCGCCGCCGUCUCGCCUUCCUAAGUAGGACACAAACUCUAUCAAAACUCGAAAAAAAAUCUAAAAAUGAAGCCCUCCCAGUGGAAAGGGCCAAGAUCCACUCCGCCUCCAUGGCCCUAAGGCCACCGGAGAUGGGGCGGACCAGCGACGGCACCGGCGGGAGGCAAGAGGAACCCUAGGUUUUUGGAAGCCGGCGGCUGGCUAGGAAGAAAAGAUUCCGGAGGCGUUGAUGCCGAGCACUAGGCGACGUCAUGAUUCUUCUUCUUGAGUUGCUAUCAUUUUCAUAAGUAGUCGCUUGUGUUGGUACUUUGGGUGAGGUUUUUGUUUUCACAUGGGCAGUUGCUUAGAAUAUCUCAAUGGUUGCUCUUUUUUGUCCAAUAUUUGCUCGUGUUUGGGAUUUUAAGGAUUUUGGGUGACGUUUUUUCACAAAGGCGGUAGCUUGGAAAUAGGGCAGCAGUUGCUCAUUUUUUUUCGUUGUGCUUUGUUCUGAUGUAGGCCGUGCACCUUAAGGUGCUCCAUCUUUUCACGGGCCGGGGAAUAUGAAUUUGAUUUUCUGAACAUUAUUCACGACCAACAUAUUAUUUUUGGAUGCAACAUUUUGUAGUUUUAGUUGCUUCUGCUAGGAGAGUAGAUGAGCUCUGGAUAAUUUUUGGAGGUGCCCCUGGUGUAAGUUAUAGGAGUUUAGGAGGUUAGAAGUUCAGCAAAUAUUUUGUAUACCAGAGCAUGCUUUUUUCUAUAUCAGUAGCGAGCUUGAUGGUAAUAUGGUUUGAACAUAUAUAUGAAAUUAAGGUUAUUCGGGUUUUUUCAGCGAUGUUUUUGCUUGCAAUACGAGCAGGAAUUGGUCUCAAAUCGUCAAUAGUUGCUCGAAUGUUUUGGGCAUUUGGGUUGCAAUACGAGCAGGAACUGGUCUCAAAUCGUCAAUACUUGCUCGAAUUUUUUUGGCUUUUGGGUGUUUUGGGGUGAGUUUUUCUGACAAACGCGGUUGCUAACAGUAGUUGCUCUCAUGAUGACCGUAAUUGCUUGUGUGUUGUUGGACUUUUUUGGGUCAGGGUUAUUCAAUAAAGACAGUUGCUUAAAGAAGGAGCAGGAGUUGCUCUCAUUUUCUCUGUCAAUGGUUGCUCUUUUUUAGUAGGUACUAAAAUUUCUCUCAAUUUUUGAUUCUACAUAAUGACACUCGAAAGUAAAAGGAUCUCGUAUAGCAGGAGGCACUCUUUUGACAUUUACUUUUUCUUUCUUUUGGGGUCAUAUAUUAAGCACAUGUUUUGUUCAUUUUUUUACAUUUUUUUCAAAUAAUU